Planococcus citri (citrus mealybug) is the source of this 6179-nucleotide long non-coding RNA. RefSeq lists it as uncharacterized. NCBI's taxonomy places the organism in Eukaryota, Metazoa, Arthropoda, Insecta, Hemiptera, Pseudococcidae. The transcript has 2 exons. The record is from RefSeq and is a predicted model, not a curated record.
ACCACACUGCGGCUAUACUACGGCUACACUAUGUUCUGUUUUAUCAGCUCUUUUGCAUUGUGAUAAGCUAAUAACAGAAACUUUCACUUUUUUCAGCUUACAAAUUUAUUGUGUUCCUACUUGACGAUUUUCAGCUCCUAGCGCAAUAAAACGGGUUUAAAUUGUUCUUCAGUCUUUCUAGUAAACUGUCCAGAAUUAAUACUCGUCAUAAUAUUAUAAUUUUUCUACUCGUUUUCGUGAUUUUAUUAGCCCAGGCAGUUCACAAUGAUGGUAAAAUUUCAUCACAGAAGCUUCAUAGGAGCAAAAACCAAACGUUGGAGCAAUAAAACACUGUCGUGACUAUAUCAGACACAACUCAACGCGACGCCUCCUGGAGCAAAUUAUAAAUUCUGGAAAAAUUGAAAAUCGCGCCAGAGGCUCCAGAAUGACGUGAUCACCGGCUUAAAUGCAAUUCAUACGUGUCCCUUCAGUCCCCUUCUCAUCACGUUCAAAGUGGACUAGCAUUUGGCGUGAGAAUGGUUGAAACGGUAAAAUGUCAGAGAAAAUAGUCAAAUUUAGAUUAAGUAUCAAAAAUAUGUCAAAUUUACCUAUUGAAAGUAUUGUAAAUUUUUUUCAUUUUCUCGUCUUGGAAAAUGAGUUUGAGCAGCUGGAAUUAUUUUGGUUACGAGGAUUUCAGCCAAGCUUUUUCCAAAAAUCGACUUCUUAUUGCUUUUGUUGUUUUGUUGGUAAUUAAAAAGGAACAACCCAUGAAUUUAAAAAAAGGUUAAAUUUGAAAAAUUGAAAAAUUACUUACUUACUUUAUAAUCCUCUUUGGUGGAGUUAAGUAAAUACAUGUAAUAUUAGGUAUAUAUUUGAUAAAAUGCGCCUUGCCUUUUAUCUUCCGUGAUAGUUGACCAUGAGGGGUCCUGCUGAACCCGAAGGUCCACCAGCCCCAAGCGCCUGCUGACUUCUUCUCAUCCAUCUUAUAGUACAGUCAUUUUAGCAAAAUUUUUAGUAGAACCUCGAAAAAAUUGGGGGAAAGCUGAAUUUCACAUUAUUUGUUCAGAUUGGUCCCUAAAACAACCCAUCAAAAGUUGCACCCCCCCAAACUUGCCGGCUACCACCGCAAAAGGUCAUUAACCUUUGCUGAUAAAAGUUUUUUGGAUGUAUUGCCAAAAUCAAGGGUCCGAGAGGAAAAAUGUUCGAUCAAAAACUGUUCUACGCUAAAUUUCCUAUCAGCAUGACCAGUUCAGCAUUUCCCAAAAUGGAGAUUUCACCCUUACUGAGGAGGGAGUAAAGUUGUCCAUUUUAUGAAAAUUGUUUGAAAAAAUGAAAAUCGACAAUUUAAUUCGUGAACUCGAUUCACAAUAGACCCGAAAAUAUUAUGACCAAAGUUGCACUCCCCAGCAUGUCUGCUACCCCCGCAAAAGGUCAUUAACGUUUGUCAAUACAUAUACGUUUUUCUGCUAUAUCUCCGAAAUGAAGGGUCGGAGGAAAAAAAGUGAUUGGACUGAAAUUAUUCUGCGUCAAAUUUCCUAUAAGCAUGACCAGAUCAGUUAAAAUAUAUUUUUCGAUUUUUGGUGAAUUUAUGAAAAUCAAAAUGAGAAAAAAAAUUAAAAAAAAAAAAAAAAAAAUUUUACCAAAUUGAGAUAUAAAGCUGAAAUUUGGGACAUAGGGGACCCGGCCCUAAGAUGGCGCAAUUUUUUUUCUGAAGCCUGGUGCUCCUAAAGUAUCCAAACAAAAUGGACAAAAAUUUGAUGGAAGGUCCCUCAGACUAUCUACUACUUACCACCAGAAACGUAAAACUUUUGGUUUCAAUCUCUUGUCUCAAUCAAAUGAACUGUGAAUCAGUUCAAAUGUGCCAACGGCGCAAAACCAUUCCUAAGAUGGCGCAAAUUCAAUUAAAAUGUAAAACUGUAACUAUAUCGUUUGAAUUCGAUUGAAAUUAUUAUUUUAAAUGUAUUACGAUCCCUAAUUUACCCCCAAUUUUUGUGUUUGAGGCUGUUAGAAGUUUUUUUAGUGAUUUGGCUGACAAUCCCACUUUUUUCAAUAUUUUCGCAAUAAUACCUUUUUAUAAAAUAUUUUGAACAGAAACAUGUAAGAUUAGGCACACUAUAUACACUACUACAGGAUUCACCUAAAUCUACCCGUUUUUGUUGCUGAAAAGCGCCUGCUUUUGCGCUGCGCCAUCAUAGGACUGGUUAUACAAAUUCAAAUUUCAGUCAAUUUAUGAAUGAACAUGAACUCUAAUGAAAAAACUGAGUAGCGCAUUAGAAAGUAGAUGAAAUUUCGCACAUUAUAAGAUACUUUCAGUCACUUUUAGAAAUGAAACCAAUUUGAAAGAGCUUCCACCAAAAAUUCGAAAUGAUCGAAUUUUUAAGCAAGAAAAGAAAAAUACGUUUUCAAGAACGCAAGGUAAUUGUUCAAGCGAAUAUGACUACAGUAAAAAGUCAAGAAUGUGAAGCACAAAGACAGGGUGCAGUUGGUUUUUACAUCAGCGCUGCCAGAUGCCAGAAAUUUGAAUUGCGCCGUCUUAGGAACUGCGCCAUCAUAGGGCAGGGUGCCCUACCCUAUUUUCGACCAGCCAAAUCGGUUGGAAACUAUUUCAACCUGUUUUGAGCAGUUCUGGAGCCUCCAGCACAUAUCUACUGGAGGCUCCAAGAAUUUUCAAAAAAUCGCUGGUGGCCACAAAAUGACUCAAACCUUCCAGAAAUCCACUUAAUAGCGUGUUUAAAUUUGAUUGCAGCGUAAAUUUCCGCUUUCCAACCUUCAGUUGAUCAAAUUUUGUGGGAAUUUCAAUUUUCAAAAAUGUGCUGGAGGCUUCAGAACUGCUCAAAACGGGUUAAAAUGGUUUCCUACCGAUUUGGCAAGUCGAAAAUAGGGUAUCGUUAGAUAGGUAACUAGCUGGUCCUGGGAGAGGGUUAGGAUAAUACCAAAUGCCUAAUAGGUUAAAAUGAGAAUUACUCCCUAAGCAGUAUUUUUCAACACUUUAAAUAUACACUUACCCAAUGCUAGCUCAGCCGAAUGAGUACCAUUAAUUACCAGUCUAAACGGUAUAUUGAUCGUUAUUACCUUGUAUUAAUUCGAACCACGCAAAAUAAGAACACACGAUAAAUACGAGCACUUUGUUAUAAUUGUUGAAAAUAAUUAUAACACGUUACGCUUAAGUCUAAAUUCAAAUAUAAGUCCAGGGUUGAAAACCGUUUCAAAUUGAAUUGGUUGUGAUGGUGGUGGUUCUUAGAACCUUAGAAUAUUAGUGGUUCCCAGUUUCAGUUCCCAAAAGGUUCUCAGACAUGGUUUUGUUCUGGUUCCAAAAGGUACCUUUUCCAUUGUUCUUCCAAAAUGGUUCUCAGUUCUUCUCAAACUCAAAUGGUUCUGGUGGUUCUUUUUACUCCUCCUUUGAUGUUUUGCUGAUGGUGCUGGUUGUUCCACCAAUUAAAAAAUGGUUCCAAAUGGUUACAGGUCCUAAAAAUGACAAAAAAUUGAAAAUUUGAAAAAAUUCCCCUUACCUAGCUUAUUCUUAUUUCACUUUGGUAAGAAUAACAAAGUUUUAAUGAUGAGGGCACCAAAAAGAACCGAUUCCUGAAAAGGGUUCUGAUGGUUCUUCUUAUUUGAAACAUGUUCUGGUUCUUGCUCUGGUUGUUCUUUCCUUUAAAAACUCAAUCGGAUCUAAAUGGUUCUAAAUUGUUACAAAAUCAUUUUAUAUACCUAUAUGGUUGUUCUUUUGGUACUUCUCUUUUCCAAAUUUUGAAACUGUUCUGAUGGUUCUGGUUCCCAUUUCACCUGACCUAAAAAAGCGGUUGUGGUGGUUCCAAAUGGUUGCGGUUCCAAACGGUUUUCAACCCUGAAUAAAACUCUACACAUAUAUCUAAGAAAAGGAUAUUCCAUCGUAUAGUGGCGUAAGUAGGAUCGCUUUUACCUACUUCCGUGUAAACAAUCACUUUGCCCACGUUGGGUAUGCGAAUAGAAAGACUUUAGACUAAUACAUACACUUUUACUCUCCAAGACUAAGUUAUGUCGAGGCAGAGGACCUGAGACUCAAGCACUAAACUUACAUAGGAGUGAGUGGCCCUAUUAUCUCCGACAGUCAGACCUACACGGUGAAGCGCGAAUCAACAAGUGAAGUUCAGUUCCUUCUUGACUUGGUUGUUCAGCUGUUUGCCUUGAGUUGAGAAGGAAUUGAGCUCUAUGAACUUACGAGCUUUUCACAUCUGUCCUAAAUGGAAUGGUGUGAAAAUACCUCCCUGGUGGUUCCCACGUACUUAACCACUUUACCUUAAUGCAUCAGAUACACUUGCUUAAGUACUUAAAGUACUAUAGAAUUGAUCUAUUUGAUUGGAUUCUCUGGUACUUCCCUUAUUGAUGAAAGAUUUACAUUUCCACUGAUAGAAAUACGAAUACGAUAAGUGUCCCUGUCUAGCCAGUGAAGACAUACUGUCCCCUUACAAUGGAUUUUGGAUUUUACUUUGAAAAAUAAGGCUCGAGGUCUUGAAAAAUUGGUGAAUGUAAUCUCAAAAGUGUUGAAAAAAAGAGAUUUUAAAAAACAUCCAAAAUCCAGAUUCUCAAAAAUCUGUCAAAAUCUGUGUAAAAAGAACACAAUAAAUAAAUUUAAAAAAAGUCAAAUAUGAAAAGAUACUUACUUAAUAAUUCAGCUGAAGUUUAUUUAUUGUAAAUACCUAGAUAGAACGUGGCGUAAAAUGUAUUUCUGCUUUGUAGUUGCAUUCAUUACCUACGUUUUUUAACUUACCCCCAUAGUCCUUAUCACAAUACCUGUGAUAGUAUUACCUUAUCUGCAUCUGCCCCUUUCCUCAUUUUUAAAAUUACGUUUUUAAUAUAAUUGCAAAUCAACAGUUAAAAACAGAAAAAUUGAUUUAAACACAAAAAAAACUAUUUUCUUAAACACUGCUUAAACCUAUGGUAUAUCAAAUUGUUAAAGAUAAUGAUCAUAAUUUUACAAACAUUAUUUAUAAUAAAUAUUUGUAAUCUUCAUUGUAUACCUGAUGGCUGUGAGUUCAAUUCAAGUCUAGUCAAAGUUCUAUGGAAGAGCCUACCAACACCAAGCCAAUGGAGAUGACUAUUGAUACUGAGCCAAAAAUAUGUUUUCACACAGUUGAUGACUAAAUAUUAUUUAAUACAAAAAAAUAUGUUACUUGAUUGUUGUUAUUAAUUUUUCUCCUCAAUGUUUAUUCUUUUGUAAUUUUCUCUAAUCUAUUCUUGUUGAUUUUUUUCAUCAAUUGUGUAGGUACCUAUAUGUCCAUAGUUUUCCUGUAAGUAUUUUUUUCUUUGCUGCUAUUGAUUCACCGCAAUUAAUUCACUCUGUGGUUGUUAAGAAGACCAUUAUGAUUGCUAAUGUGUUGCUUAAAGUCCUUAUAAACUUAUGCCAUUUUAUUUUUAUUUUUUUAAAUCGGCUGUUGUUGAUUGUUCAUUGAUGAUUUGAUGGGUCUGUGACCUAAACUAUUGUCAACUUGAAUGUCAAUUUUUAAGGACUUGUAAAUGUUGUCUAUUCUUGUACAUAUUAUGUUGAUGCUUUGAAAAGGCACGCUGUGAGAUUAAUUUUUCAAUUUUAAUUACAUUUAGCUGAUGUUUAUCAAAUGAGUGAGUAGAUUUUGGUGAGGCAUUUGCCUAAAAUGCAGCAGUUUUCCUAAUUUCUAUUCAGUCUUAUUUCCUAUGUAAAAAUAGUCAGAUCAUAUUUCAAUAUGUAAUGUAUUGUUUUCAAAUUAUUCAUUGACACUUCCAUAAUCUAAGUAGGUAUACCUAUAUUGAAUUAUUAUCAUGGAUAUUUUUAUCUAUGUAAGUAUUUUAAAUUAAAUCUUAUAAUUUUUCAGUAAUAAUUUUGGUAGAACUGAUCUCAAAAUUUAUUCUCUUUUUGAUUGUUGAGAUUUUCUACCUUUUAUACUUAUUUCUUAUAUUUUUUCCUCUUUCUUAAAAUUUUUUUCAUUUGUAACUUUUUAAUGCUUAGAGGAUUUUAGUAUGGGUUUGAGCCCCUAUUCCAUGUUUUGUAGCCUUUGUUUUUCAUUCGGUUUAUUUUAAUUUUUUUUUUUAAAUUAUUAUUACUUUGCAUUUUUUAUGCUUUCUCUAUAAAUACGUAAUACUGUUAUAUUUUUUCUCAACUUGUAUGUGUUGUGUUUUGUUUUACUUUUUUCUCUGAUGUAAAUUUUUGCGAUAUAUGUGAUUCGAAUUAAACGAUGUCAGAAUAUUGA